UACCUCAAAAUUGAAGCGAGUUAUGCGCCUUCAAAGUUCCAGGUGAGAGAGUGAGAGACGGCAGAGAAAGAGACAGUCGUUUUCUCUGCCGCCUCUUACUCUCUCACUUCAAUCUUUAAAGGCGCAUAACUGGCUUCAAAUUGAAGGUU
Molecule: small RNA, 149 nt
Filed under: Caenorhabditis brenneri
Lineage: Eukaryota; Metazoa; Nematoda; Chromadorea; Rhabditida; Rhabditidae
Description: sRNA CBN34306
Source: RNAcentral